ACUCAAAUGAAUUGACGGGGACCUGCACAAGCGGUGGAGCAUGUGGUUUAAUUCGACAAUAAGCGGGGAACCUUACCAAGGCUUGACAUGUAGCUGCACGCUCUAGAAAUAGAGUUCCUUCGAGGGUGCUACACAGGUGCUGCACGGUUGUCGUCAGCUCGUGCCGUGAGGUGUUCACUUAAGUGUGAAAACGAGCGCAACCCCUAUCGCCAGUUACAAGUGUCUGGUGAAACUGCCGGCGUCUAAGCCGGAGGAAGGCGGGGAUGACGUCAAAUCAGCGUGGCUCUUACGCCUUGGGCGACACACGUGCUACAAUGGGAAAGAACAAAGGGACGCCAAAUCGUAAGAUGGAGCAAAUCCUAACAAAAUUUCCCUCAGUUCGGAUCGAGGGCUGCAACUCGCCCUCGUGAAGCUGGAAUCGCUAGUAACCGUAGAUCAGCCUCGCUACGGUGAAUACGUUCUCAGGUUUUGUACACACCGCCCGU
Molecule: ribosomal RNA, 485 nt
Filed under: uncultured bacterium
Lineage: Bacteria
Description: partial 16S ribosomal RNA
Rfam family: Bacterial small subunit ribosomal RNA
Source: RNAcentral